Molecule: ribosomal RNA, 807 nt
Filed under: Triticum aestivum (bread wheat)
Lineage: Eukaryota; Viridiplantae; Streptophyta; Magnoliopsida; Poales; Poaceae
Description: partial small subunit ribosomal RNA
Source: RNAcentral
AUGUCGUUAAUUUUCUUCUUCUUCUUCUUCUCCCUCCCCCUCCACCACGCACUGGACCCAGAGAGUUUACUCAAUGUUGAGUACAACGUCUCGAGCCAUUCGUUCACCCGCGUGUCUGGCCUUUUGUCUAGGCAGUUUCUUGCCCCGAGGCGGGCUUUUUUUCAAGCCCGUCCCAACCGGUUUAUCAUGAUAAAUAUGGUUGACAACGUGCCUGGGCGUACAGCCACCCUCGCCCUGUGCGACGAUGACCUGUACGUCCCGGGCUUCAAAGACACCACUCUCCAGUGGAACCAUUUCAAACGAUUCGAGCCAAUCGUGCCUGGCUCCAGGGAACUGCCCUUUGAACACGAUUACCCAAACCUUCUUCCCUUGUUCCCAAACGGCACCAAAAGAUCACACAUAGACCUGUAUGAAGUUCCCUUGGGCAAAGCCGCCACCUUACGUGCAUUCCGGACGUUGGCGAGCUAUAAUCCUGGCACCACGCCAAGGCCGCACCUUAGAUCCGCGCUGGUAACACUAAUCGUCACCUUUUGUGAAGGACACAGAUUUGACCAGCUAAACAGACGACUGAAGAACGAGUGGGACAACCCUAGACCAAUCUACAUGCUUGAAGAGGAGGCACCGUACGUUGUGCAAUGGGGCUCGCUGUCUCGUGCGCUCCAAUGGUGGGAGGAGAGUGGUUGCAAAAGUUGGACCAAGGACAAAGACGACAUUAGAGAAUUCGACAAGAUCCAUGCCAACAGCCCCCUGGCAGCUAGAGAUGUGCUGCUCUUCUUACAAAGGACCAGGAACUUCAAGUUACAGUGA